CGGAGGGUGCAAGCGUUAUCCGGAUUCACUGGGUUUAAAGGGUGCGUAGGUGGGUUGGUAAGUCAGUGGUGAAAUCUCCAGGCUUAACUUGGAAACUGCCAUUGAUACUAUCAAUCUUGAAUACCGUGGAGGUUAGCGGAAUAUGUCAUGUAGCGGUGAAAUGCUUAGAUAUGACAUAGAACACCAAUUGCGAAGGCAGCUGGCUACACGAAUAUUGACACUGAUGCACGAAAGCGUAGGGGAUCAAACAGGAUUAGAUACCCUGGUAGUCCACGCCCUAAACGAUGGAUACUCGACAUACGCGAUAUACAGUGUGUGUCCUGAGCGAAAGCAUUAAGUAUCCCACCUGGGAAGUACGAUCGCAAGAUUAG
This 371-nucleotide ribosomal RNA is filed under the name uncultured organism. RNAcentral's name for it is "bacterial SSU rRNA". It matches the Rfam family "Bacterial small subunit ribosomal RNA", at positions 526 to 897 of the family's 1533-position model. The record is from RNAcentral.